GAUUAAAAAAGAAGAAUUAUUAGGUUAGAAGAUAUUAAAAAUUAUACAAUUUUAGAUAUAUUAUAAAAGAAACUCGAUAAUUUUAAUCAUCCUGUAAAUGAAGUUUGUAAAAUAUUUAUAUGAAGAUUAUUUCGUUCAGUUAUGGAAAAUCAAAUAAAAAGGUCGUAAGAAGUCUAUAGUAGAUCCAAUGUGAUAAAAUUGAUAAAAAAGAGGUUAUAAUAGGUUCUAAAAAGAAUUUUCUGGUUGUUUAAUUAUGGAAAAAACAUAAAUGGAAAGUUAAAAGUGAUGUUGAUAUUGUAUAAGGAAGAUUAAUUGGAAAAAAAUUUUGUAAAACAGCCUAAAAAUAAAAGGUGAUUUCGCGAGACAAGGAUUAUUCUAACAAGAAUACUGAAUCAAUACGGCAAUUUGAAAUAUUAUAUAGAGAAAACUUUUCUUAGUUUUAUUUAAAUAUACAUCAUCGUUGGAUAUAAUCCGAUAUCUCCCAAAUAUGUUUACCAUUGUAAUGGAAAACACAUUCAAAUAAUUAUCAUGGGAAUAAAAGGGGACGGAUUCUACUUUAAAAAACUGCACUUUGAAGACUAUAUAGUAAUAGUUUUGAGUGAUAUUGAUGAGUAAUGUUAAAAGAACUCAAGAGGUCAGUAAAGAACGUUGGGUUAACGCGGAACAUGAGCAACAUGACUGAUACAAUAACAAAUGUAAUCAUAUAACAUCCUGGUAUUAACAAUAUCAAUGAGUGGAUUACAAGAUAAAAUUGGGAAAAGAAAACCAGACUACCGAAAUGAAAACAAGAAUUGACUUAAUUUUUCGCAGUAUUUGAUAAGCUUUGUCAUAUCCUAAAGGACAUAAUCAUCUUAAGUAACAUAAAAAGGAAAGUAUAUGAAUCAUGUAUACUUCCCAUAGUCUCACAAGGGAGCUAUAACCGGUUAACAAUAAUUUUUCCAGUUCAAUCUGGUUUUUCUCGGCGAGCCCCCACUUGGAUAAGGAAGCUCGGCCCGGAUUAUAAUGAAUCUUUUAUAAGGACUUCCAGGAUAAACACACAAACUCUAGGAAACCGAGUGAUUUUUGUCUCAAAUGCGUGGAAAUUGAAUAUACCUAACCUAACUUAAACCAACCUAAUCCAUACGAUAAAUCUAACACGCCCUCUGUUUUUAUUAGCUCCCAUAGUCUCAUAAUGGAGCUAUAACCGGUUAAUAACAAUUUAACCAGUUCUAUCUGGUUUUUCUCGGCAAGUGCUCGCUUUUUUGCGUCCCCACAUGGAUGAGGGAGCUCGGUUCGGAUUCUAGUAGUAACUAUAAAAAUAUUUUAAGUGUAAUGAACACUGAAUAUAAGCUAGGCGAAUAUUUGGACCACUAAUCGAAAAGAGAAAUCUCCCAUUGGUGCAGAGUUCGUUUAGCGACCACCAGUGUUGCUCCGAUGUCCUCGAAAGUCAAGUUUUUCGACUUUGGUAGAAUCACUCCGUGAUCCAGAGCCGUGAAUUUCGCGACGAGGUAAGCGAAGACCUCGAAAGUAGUGAAAAUGUCUUUUCGGGCGAAACGCGAACAGAUAAUUCCUAGAGCUAAUUAUAAAGGAUCCCAGGAUAAACACAAAAACUUUAGCGCCCAAAACUCGUUUAAUCGUUUCUAGACCUCCCUAAUUCAGUUAGAACCGCGAAUUUUGCGGCCUGGUAAGCGAAGUCCUCGAAAAUAUUGAAAGUAUCUUCAGACGAAACUUGACCAAAUAGUAUCUAGAGCCAUUAUACAGCAUCCCUGGAUAAAUACCCAAACUCAAGCUCCCCAUGGUAGGUGAUGUAGAAUAUGAGCUAAAAAAUUAACAUUUUUCUAGACUUACUUGCAAUAAUUCAGCGACAUAAUCAACGCCUUUGGUUUUCUUCAAUUUCAAUUUAUCUUCUUCGUCAAUUUCGAAUUCUAUGUUACCUAAAUGCAAAGUGGCGGCUACUACUUUCCACAACGUAUCCUGUUCUUGUUUACUGAAUUGGAGUGUGUUCAAUGAUGAAGAUACUUCGCGAUAAUCGUUUUUAUCGUUUAUUGUGUUAACUACGGCCGCAUUUCCUUGCUUCACGUAGAAAUACUGAUGGGUAUCACGAGAUAAGUUCAGUCUUUUCAACAAGUCUUCAUUCGCUCCCGAUAAAAGCUGUAAAAACAUACAAAUACUGCGAAUCGCUAAUUUCUUCGCAUUUCUUCGAUAUGGAUUUUUACCUGAUAAAAACAAUGGAAGUUUCUUUCUCCGGGUUGUUGGUGUAUCACACGCGAUUUUUCCAACAAAUACUUAUUAAUGUGACCACCGAUUGGGUCGCCUUUGAAAUCAAAGUGGAUAUCCAUGUAUUUACCGAACCUGGAAGAAUUGUCGUUCCUGUUAGUUUUGGCGUUACCGAAUGCUUCUAAAAUUGAAUUCGACUGGAUCAGAACGUCCUUAACACGUUCGAUUUCCUUUUGACCUCCUGAAAAUAUAUAUUUUGAAAAUGUUAGGUUAUAUAUUUGGAUGGAAGCGACAGGUUAGAAAGCUGCGAAAAAUAGCGUCCUGAUUUUGACAUAUCAAAUCACAACCUCCCCCGGUAACGAGUGCCUAAUGUAAAUUCAAUAAAGUUGUGGUGACAAAUUUUGAAAAUGUCGGUGAGCAAAAUAAGUGGAAUUACGAGAUCCGUUCGAACAAUUGGAUAUAAGACUGAAAUCAAAGUUUUCCAUAGAAAACUAGUGACUCGCAUCGUUUUUUUCUUUUUGUGAGUGUACAGUGCAACUAGAGUAAAUUCUAAUGAGAACUGUGAUCAUUUAUUCAAGUGUUGGAUCGCUGAAAGACUUUCUGUCUAUCCUCAACCGCCUAACUCGCCAGAUUUAGUACCAUGCGACUUCUUGAAUGCUAAAACCGAAACGUUUUAACACCAUUCCUGAUUUGUAAACUCUUCUAGUAAUGGGUUUAACAAUGAGUGCAUUUUUAGCAAAGGGUAGUAUUUUUCAUUGUCUUUUUAAAACUUUUUUAUCACGCCCUCUAUUUUCAAACGAAAUUAUGACAAAAUAUAUUUAAUUUUUGACAUUAUUUAACAAUUGUUUUGACAAUUAGUUGCGGCGAUUAUUAAAAAGCUAUCAAAACAACACCAUUCAUUAUUACUAAUAAUACUAUAUAAUAGGGCUGAUCCCUUUCAGCCGCCUCCGACCCAUUUAUAAAUCAAAACAAUUACGUCAUACUGUAACAUAUCAUGUAUACAUGGAGUUAAUAUUAGAGAGAGGGGCCAGAUACGUAGAACUGUAGUAUUGGAAAAGAGAGAAAAAACACUCCACCACUAAAAUCUUUGACGUCAUAGCAAGUCAAUCAGAAUAAAGUAGAACAGGGCGUAGCUAUGUUCUUUCUCUCUCUAUCAAUAUCAAAAGUAUGGUAUAGACAAUUAACCUGCAUUAGAUAGAACAGAUGACGUACAUAAUGAAUGACAGACGUGACGGAUGAGUUUAAAAACACAAUUUAUUACGACACACAAAACAAAUUGGAUCAUAGAUCAUGAUAAAUGAUGGAACGCGUGGCAGCACAGAAUACAAGACAGCUGACAUAUGACAGUAUAGACGGACAUAAUAAUGACAGGUGAUGGAUGAGUUCAAAGACAAAGAUCAUAGAUGAUGCACUUAAUAGAUGGAAUUAUAGAACAUACGAUAUAGAACGCGUUAUAGCACAAAAUAUGUGAUAGGAUAGAUAACGCACGUAGUGAAUGACAGAUGACGCACGUGACCGAUGAAUUCAAAGAGAUAAAGAGUAAUAGAUGACUGAUAACACACGCGAUAGAUGGGUUCAAAAACACAAGCAGUUAAGAUGAUACAUAAUGGAUGGGAGUAUAGAUCAUAUGAUAAAUGGCAGAACGUGUCGCAGCACAGAAUACAAAACGGGUGACACGUGACAUUUGACAGUAUCGAUGACGUACGUAAUUAAGACAGGUGAUAGAUGGGUUCAAAGACAAAUAUCAUAGAUGUGGAUUAUAUAUGAAUGGAAUAUAUGAUAGGAUAGGUGACGCACGUAGUGGAUGACAGUUGACACACGUGACGGAUGAGUUCAAAGAAAUGAGGAAUCGUAGAGUUGACACACAAAAUUUCGCGGAUACAUUUAGGGAAAAGUGCAGUGUCAUAUGGCACAGUGAAAAGAUGAAGUGUGUGACGUGUAUGAUGUAGCAGAGUGAGGAGUGGAAAAACGAGAUUCACCAGGAGUUUAAGCAAAUUUUUAUCGUUGUAUGUAUGGUUAAGGGUGUCAUAUAAAUCGCGACCUAAAAUAUUGAUCAAGUCUCCGUCGUUAGAUCUUUACAUUUUUUUAAUGAUCUAUGAGAUGAAUGUUCUAACCUCAAUGAAGACUAUGUGGGAAAAUAAAAAUAUCUUCGCCAAUUUUUAUCGUGAGUAUAGAGCGCGGAGCAAAUGGAUCAACCCUUGUAUAUAUACUUCACACGUACGUUUAUGGUAUGGUUGGUGAAAAGUUUUAAUAAUAUGAAUAGAACGAUGUUAGAAAACACGAAAUACACUUCUGUGGUAGUUAACGGAGUACUUACUAGAACUGCACGUUAUUUCUGAAAUUUAUAAUAGAAAUAUUAAAAAAAAAAAAUUAUUUUAUCAAGUAGAUCGAAACGUGUAGGUAGCAAAAAUAUUAUAAAUCUUUUACUUGAGGUGAAGAUAAGAAUAAGUCGUGUAACUUAUAAACAGAUGGCGCUGCUAUUGUCAAACCAUAUGACGUUUACGGAGUACCAACUUUCAGAAGACUAUGUUCAGGAUUAAGAUUUACAAGGCCCGCGGCUAAAAUAAUGACGGGGCCCACUUUUGUAUGAAAAAAUUUAAAAAAUAAUAUCAAUACGUUAGAUUUGUGGUAUCAAUACAUCAAAAAAUACAGAAUGAUUUAGCAAAUGAUGGGGCCCGGGGCUAUAGCCUCCUCAAGCCACUAGCUUAAUCCGGCCCUGACUAUGUGUAAUAUUUCAUGACAUUUAGAUUAGUCAGAAAAAAGUGACGGCCAUUAAGUCGAACUACUUUUGUUAUUUUCAAAACACUGGAUUCUAAAAAAUUUGGUGUGUUAAUUCCUUCUUGAUGAAAAAAAUACUAAACAAGCUCAGCAACGGCUUCAAAAGUGUUAUCCGGUCUCUUCUCCAUCGAAAAGAACUAUUUUUUAUUGGUUUGCUGAAUUUGAAGUUGGUCGUACAGACUCCGAUGAUAGUGAACGUUCUGGUCGUUCAUUUGACGUGGUUACUACAGAAAACAUCAAAAACGUCCACAAAAUGGUUAUAUCUAGCGAUAGAUGGUCUAGAGAUAAUCAAUAACGAAUACUAAAUGGAUUUGUUGGAUCAUUUGAAUGCAAAAAUCAAGGAAAAACGGCUUCAUAUGUCGAAGAAAAAAUCACUGCAUCACCAAGACAAUGCACCGAUUCACAAGUCGAUGGUAACGGUGGUUAAAUUACACUUCGAGUUGCUUCAUCAACCACCGUAUAGUCCAGAUCAGACCCCCAGUGACUACUGGCUAUUCGCUGAUAUCAAAAAAAUGCUCGCCGGUAAAAAUUCAGCUCAAAUGAAGAAGCAGUUGUCGAAACUGAAGCCUCUUUUGAAGCCAAAUACAAAUCCUUCUAAAAGCACGGCAUCGAGAAGUUAGAAAAACGUUGGAAUGGUUGUAUUGCUCUUGAAGGAAAUUACAUUGAUCAAUAAAAUUGUUUUUAGGCAAAAAA
Long non-coding RNA from Diorhabda sublineata, 5667 nucleotides. RefSeq lists it as uncharacterized. The record is from RefSeq and is a predicted model, not a curated record. NCBI's taxonomy places the organism in Eukaryota, Metazoa, Arthropoda, Insecta, Coleoptera, Chrysomelidae. The transcript has 2 exons.